RNAcentral lists this ribosomal RNA (468 nucleotides) under uncultured bacterium. RNAcentral's name for it is "partial 16S ribosomal RNA". It matches the Rfam family "Bacterial small subunit ribosomal RNA", at positions 28 to 507 of the family's 1533-position model. The record is from RNAcentral.
GACGAACGCUGGCGGCGUGCUUAACACAUGCCAGUCGAACGGAAAGGCCCUGCUUUUGUGGGGUGCUCGAGUGGCGAACGGGUGAGUAACACGUGAGUAACCUGCCCUUGACUUUGGGAUAACUUCAGGAAACUGGGGCUAAUACCGGAUAGGAGCUCCUGCUGCAUGGUGGGGGUUGGAAAGUUUCGGCGGUUGGGGCUGGAAUCGCGGCUUAUCCGCUUGUUGGUGGGGUAGUGGCUUACCAAGGCUUUGACGGGUAGCCGGCCUGAGAGGGUGACCGGCCACAUUGGGACUGAGAUACGGCCCAGACUCCUACGGGAGGCAGCAGUGGGGAAUAUUGCACAAUGGGCGGAAGCCUGAUGCAGCAACGCCGCGUGCGGGAUGACGGCCUUCGGGUUGUAAACCGCUUUCGCCUGUGACGAAGCGUGAGUGACGGUAAUGGGUAAAGAAGCACCGGCUAACUACGUG